GUUUGAUUUUUUGUCUACACAUGGGUGGUGACCUCCACAUCAUCCCUGUCAUCAGAGCUGGCGUCUAAUUUUACUUAAAUUUUCUAAUCAAGUGUAUGUUCCACUGAAAGUGCUGAUCUGUUCAACAGCACAAGCAUCUCACUCCAAUUCCAACACUUAUCAUGUUUCCCUAAUCUCACCCUCAAACCCUAAUUGACAAGUUUAGCAAGGUGUUAGUAAUAUGGCACUUGCUUCACAGGAAAAAUGCCUUCCCAUGUGUUUCAUGGCACCGCAUCUUCGCAGAAGAAAGAAUGAAAGGAAGCCAAUAAGAAAGCAGAAAACACGCAAGGAAAGAAGAAUAAGAGAAUAAUAAAACAGAAUGCCGCAUGACUGGCUGGAAACACAAGCAGAAGAAGACGAGGAAGAGGAGCUGCCCGAUGUUGGAAAAAGCUGGAGCAGCGAUGGAAUGACUGGCUAGGUUUCGAGAGAGGACCGCGGCCACAACACUUCGUAACCGCCCCCAUCCCACGGAUCACAUGAAAAACACUUGCGGAACAGUCCAAAAACGAUUUCCAAGUGGCGAGAAGCUGGAUUUGGAAACCGGAUUCGGAAGAGAUUUGACGUGGCCUCGGACAGGCGCUGCGGUGAACUGUUUGUAAGUCAUAGAUGUGCCCUUGGCUCCGUCGUGUAUCACUCCUCGCGGCAUGAUUGCGUUGAUCUAUGGAAAGGUAGCGAGGAUCUACUCAUUAUCUGGACCGGAGCCUCGAUCGCAAGUCCCUUGAACCGUCCGAGAGAGCCACCACACCAUUCCCUUUAGUUUUUUGGGUUUGCUCUUCCUCGCUGCGUUGUUGUCGUUGAAGCGGAGAAGGCGAGCGUCGAGCUCGACACCCCCCGGACUCGUGUCAAUGCCCUUGAAGUAGGGUGGGCUUUGAAACGGCGAGGGAAGAGGGGUGGAGAGCGAGGCGAUGUGGGUUUCUGUUGCAAUUGAGUCAGGAGGCGGGUGAAGGCCGGGGAGCUUGAGGGCUCCGCUGAAGUAUUCGUGGCAGAAUCGAUGCUCUCUGUGGUGGUAUCUGAGGGAGUUUGGUUGGCGUCGGUGGCAGGUGGGUUUGCGUGGGAUGCAGGUUCAAUGUGUAGUUGCAGGAGUCAAUGGGGCCUUUGGUGUUUUCUUGUAUCCGGCGGAGAAUUUUGGGUAGAUUUUAGGUCGGUUGGGGGAGGGGUUGAGGUGUAUGGACGAGGGAAUGAAAUGUCUGAGGUUCUAGAGAGAGGAAUGGAGGUAAAAGAUUUCGGGAUGCAGUUACGUGGUGGCGGACUUGAGCGGUUGCACAAUGUUUAGUGAGCGUGGAUUGUUGAGUCAUGAGUAGGUGACGGGAAUUCGGUUAACAGUGAUUACUCGGUGACAAGGCGGAGGUGCGUUCCAGGGUUUCGUCUGAGUUUGUCGUUCUUGACUACUGGGGGAAUUUGGAAAGCUCAUGACUCGCCGUUAGAUGGUCAUGGACGUUGUGCCGCCACUGUUGAGGGUACACCCUGUGGCGCUAUGAAAAGAAUAGAGUGUACUAGAUAGCGUUGCCGCUGGUCGAAGUGUUUGAAUUGUCGGGGUUUAGUGCUAGGAAUUGCGGCGCCAGCCACCACCACUCCGCCUAGAUUACUGCGUUGGAGUCCGGUUUUGGCUGUGUGGUUUUUUAUAUUAUUAGCCACUGUUACAGUAAUCUUCCUUCUUCUUUAAGAGGAGUGUCUUGCAGAAAUUCCUGCAUCAUUCCUCUGCGCAUUCUAUCACCAUCUUUCUCUCAACUGUGACUAUUACUGUGGCGAUUUUUCAGCAGUGAGGUACAUGUGAGAUGUAGAGAAAUACGUCAUGAACUCAAGUCUCUACACCUGUGUGAGUGUUUUGUGGUUUCUGCGAUCGCUACUGAGAUUGAGAUUGUUAUCUCGAAGAGUCCUCGGUGUCAUCUUAGAACACAUAUUGCAAUUGAAUCUUCGUUCAAAGAUUGCUAUUUUCGUUUGGGUGCUUUUAGUUUCAGAGGUAGCCAACGAACGAACUGAGAUAACGUAUAGAAUAGGUUAUUAGAUUCACAAAAAUGAGCGAGUUUGUAAUCUUUUGUACAAUCUUGUGGAGGUUUAUGUUUUGAUAGAUUUCUUUGAUCUUUUUUUCCCAUCUUUCCUGUGAAAGAGAAUUACUUUGAUAGUAGGAGAGGCCUUUAGUAACAUGAAGAGACAUAUCAUUGCAAUUCCUCUUAGAGGAAAUGGUGUUUUUCUUCCUGAGUGGUAUGCUAUUAACUAGAGGAUCGUAACUGAUCUGUGAAGCGACUUUCUUAACCAUCCUUAAAUAUCUUGACAUGAUUGUGAGAAAUGCUAUUCAGAAUCAAAUCGCUGUUCUGUCUUUUGGAUUAAUGAGUUAUGCUUCGUGCCUCGGGAUCCUAUGGAUUAUUAUGUCUCUGCCACGAGUCCUAUGUUAUCUGUGUCACGUAUCUUUCGUUCAUUUUCAUAUACGAAGAGUUCCUCACACUUAGCGGAGCGAUUGACUAACAUCUUACUCAUUGCAAGCUUUUCUCUUGCUGUUUUGAAACUCGAAUGUAACGUUCUCGAUUCUCGCUGUGUGAAUCAACACCAGUAUUCGUUAUUUUAAUCCAUUUGAAUUUAUUUUUGUUAUCGGAUGAUUAGAAGCACUAAAUCGACAUUUUCUUUGGAUAUCAGUGUGAAGGGAACUGUCAAUAAGGGAUCUUCUAGUCUGCUCGUGGCUAAAGUGUGAUCACCAAUCGCCAGGGUUUUCGUCAGGGGCUUUCCUCAGAGGUAUCUCGAUUUUCUUACAAGCACCCUGACAUUGCAUGUAGUGGUUUCUUUAUGUGACAGUCUCAAUUCUCUUGUCAUGUGUUUGGCCUAAUGAUAAAAUUCAAUCGGCUGAUAUUACUUCUGGUUUUUGGUAUUAGGGUCCCUUCCAAGGAGCACUCACUUUGGUGUGUGCUCCAGCUCUGACGAGAGCUUUGUGCAGAAGAAAUGGAUGCCGCUACUGCUAAAGUAAACUAUUUCUCGUGGGGGAAACCCGCAGUGAUGGAGACUGCUGCGGAUAUGAUGUUUUGUAUGGUGCCUUUUUGGGUGGCUACUGCAAUUGGUCUACUAGUUGGUUGGUUGUGGAAACCUCAAUGGGCUAGCAUUUUGUUAUUGGGUGUGAAAAGUCGCCCCCGAUUAGUAUGGGAUACUCCUCCUGGGUUUGGAGCACGUCGGUUUUGGCUGGCAAUUAUGGCCUUGUCCGCUCUUCCCAUGUGGAAAGAGGCAUGGAAAUCAUUUAGUGCGUGGAUGUGGCCGUCUGCUGAAGUGUUGCUUGUGCCCACUGACGUCCCGGUUGACGUUGCCGGCCCUAGGUGAGUUACGCACAUGAUUUUCCUUUAGGAUUAUGCCUUAAAGGGUAUCUUUUCUGGGUAAUCGGUUUCUUGGGGGCUGCUAAGACGUACUUGAAUGUUCGUCGAUGUGCAGUGAACCUGAUGCCAAAGAGAGGACUAAGAAGGAAGUGGUGACGAAUGAGGAUCUAGAUAAGCUAAUGACCUUGGCGAACGGCAAAGACGGAGGUCCUGAAUGGCAGAUAUUUUUAGACAAAUCUAUUCAUGACCUGAAGUAUCAAGCAUGGCGUCGUGAACCCGAGGUGAACAAUUUAUCUGGUGGACUCUGUUCAGGGCUUUCUAAUUCUGACUUCUUACCAUGACGGUUAUUGCCAAUGUUGCUAACACUUCAUGAAACUUUGCAGCAUGAUGGGCCAACUGAAUAUAAGACCAGAACUGUGGUCGAGGACACAUCCCCAGAAUUGAUGCGAGACUUUUUUUGGGAUGACGAAUUUAGGUGUCAUUGGGAUGAAAUGCUGAUCUACACCAAAACCUGGGAGGCAUGUGAAGAGACUGGUUCAAUGAUAGUUCAGUGGGUGAGGAAGGUACGAGUCUUUGGCAAGCUCCAUUUCCACUGAAAUAUGUUCUGCUAUCUUGUUUUCAUAGCGCAGGAGCAGAAUCGAAUGUUUUAUGUUGAUGAGAAGUGUGAGUGCAAUUACUAUUGUGCUCUUAGAUAAGAGGAAUGAGGUUCAUGAGAUUUGUGUUGAUUUUUGUUUGAACGUGUGAAUCAGUUCCCUUUCUUCUGCAAAGACCGGGAGUAUGUUAUUGCCCGUCGUAUGUGGGAGACCAACAACACAUACUACGCCGUAACCAAGGUAUCUAUACCGUUCAUGCAAAUGCUCUUACAGUUUAUGUCCGGCCUGUUCUCAGUUUGUAAGCCUGACUUUUAUCGACGUUUUAUGAAUUUUCUUUUGAUUAGCCAGUUGUUGAUGCUUGUGAUUUCAAUUGCAGGGUACUCAGUAUGCUCCAAUACCUAGACAGCAAGCGCCAAGGAGAGUGGAUACUUUCUUUUCAAGUUGGAGAGUACGAGCAGGUAUGUUUGAAUGACAGAAAUAUCAGCUAGCUGAGAUGUUCUGUGCUCUGGACGCUGGAGUGAGUAGUCUGUAAUUUAGUAAAUUACGACGUGUGAUUUCUGACGUCUUAUUGUGUAUUACACAUGUUAUUGUUAGAUUCAAUUACCUCUUUACAUGGGAAAAGCUUCUGAUUGUUUUGGUCGGGUGCAGUUGAGUCAGCAAAAGGUGACGGGCAGAUGACCGCCUGUGAAGUCUUGUGCUUUCAUGCGGAGGACAUGGGCAUUCAGAGAGACCUUGCAAAGCUUGGCAUUCGCCAGGGCAUGUGGGGGUGUGUAAAGAAAAUGAUGCCUGGACUGAAUAAGUACAGAGCGGAUCGGAAGGCAAAUUUGCCCCUAUCGCCAUCAGCAAAAAUGGCAAGGAAAUUUUGGAAAGUUCCUCGCCAUCUCCUCAGCGAGCCUGAACGUUUGACGAAAUCCUUUGAUUCUGAGAAUGUUAGGAUUGUGGCUGUGAGAGACAGUGACAUCCAGCAGGAAAACAAAAAUUACGUGAAAUGGGUUAUAUUAGGAGGUGCUGUUGCUCUGGCCUGUGGCAUCGAUAGGGGUGCUGUGGGCAAGUUUCUCGUUCUUGGAGUCGCAAGGCGCCUAGGCAGAAUUGGAAGAAGACUGUAACAUAGGUUAGUGUAACAAAGAAAAAUGCCCGGGUUCACCUUUGUCCCCACACGAAUGUGAAUGGAUCAGGUGGUUCCUUUCUUUUGCAUUUGAAUUUUGUAUUUUAUUUUAGAUUUGGUGUACCUACUCAGGCUUUCUUUUUCAUCCAUUUUUCUCCCCCUGAUAGCCUUUUCUGGGCCUGAUGAUUUCACUCCCUUCGUGAUAUAUGAUUUUGUGCACAGUUUGUGUUUUACUAUUCUGGUACUACUGCUGUUGCGUGUGGUUUAUUUUUGAUGUGCCCUUUAUUAUCUUGAGAAAUUCGAAACCAAAUAUGUAACUGCCUCAGAUUGAGGCAGUGAUUCGUGAUAUGGAAAGGAAUUUGUGAUAUUACAGUAGUUGAGAAAUGUAUAUACUUGAUUUAAAAAUAAAUAGAAGAUGGGAGAACAAUAUCUUGGAGAAAAUGUUCAGGGUAAUUAAAAUUUAAUGGAGUAUCGACAAAAAAUUAACUGGAGAAUGUAUCAAGUUAGAGGAAGAUGGACCAUACUUUUAGGAAAAAACUGAGUCCAAAAGUGAUGAAAUUCAUGUAAGAUUUUUCGAUUUAUUUCUUAUUUUUUUAAUAUUUCAAUAUUGUAUCUUACUAAUUUUCUUAGAAUUCUUUUUUAUUACGAUGAAAGUAAAAGAUAAGAAAAACAAGUAUAUGGUAUAGUUGACAUAUUGUGUAUGAGAUUUACUCUUUUGAUAUGAUUAUGACGUAUUCUAAGUUUUCUAUUAUAUUUGAUGCAUCUUUAAACUUUGUGUAAGUUUUAUCUUUUUCAUUAAAUUUAAUACAAAAAAUUAUAGUCCUCUGUUACAUGCAAUUACAUGAAUAGUAAAUAAAAAUAAAAAUAAAUCUGUUGUGUACAGUUUUGUUUGACAUCCACUCCACAUAGGAAUUAUUUUAAAGAUGAAAAGCAACAUUUAGUAUUUAUUACAUAAUGUUCAUGUUCCAUUACCUAUUUAAAUAAAUAUUUAAUUGAUAAUAAAGAUUUUUGUAAUAGCCAACUACAUAGUACGAUUCUUAAUGUUUUAAUUGGUAUGUUUCUAGUUUUUAUUUUUAAUUGCACACAUAAUCAACAUACAAAUAUAUUUGUGAAUUUUAAAGAACAUCAACAUUUGUAAGAUAUGAGAUUCAUAUAUAGGAAUCUUAUAUAUGUUUUACACACUACUAUAUAAUCUAUAAAUUUGUUGAACAUAUACUAUUCUUAUUUUCGAAUGCAAACAUCUUGAUUAAGUAUAGAUUAUUUUAAUGUUUUGGUAAACAUUUCUUAGACUAGUAAUGUGAAUGAAUCCUACAUUGCACAAUUUUAUCCACAAUUAUCCUUUGUGAUUUUGCAUGGCUUGCUACUUGCUUGUUGCUUGAGGGUAGCAAGCUAGGUAGCAUACAAUUGUUUUAUAAAUAUUACUACAUUUGUAGGAUCCAUCACUACUUGGAGAAUUUGGAAGUGGGGGCGUUGGAUUAGGGAGACACAUUUGAACCCCAAGGCACUAGGUUUGAUUUCCAAUGGCAACAAUUUUAAGACGAAAGUUUAUCAGUGAAGAAUGGAACUUUGCCAUUCUUCUCCUUCCUCCCACCCCUUGGCUUCUCCUCUUCUUUUCCUCCUCUUCUCUUAUUCUUUGAAAUUUGUGAUCAUUAGUCCUAAGAUCCCAAUUUGUGUAGACAAGUACAAACAUGCAUAUCAAAAUAAAAACAACAUAAUAUUAAAACUGCAUAAAUAUUAAAACUGCCCAAUAUCUAUGAAUGAAUGAAACUUUAAAAGAAAAACACCAUGUCAAUGGAGGACGAUUUCUAUUAUCUUCCACUUUAAUAUUUGGAAUUAGAGCAUGUGUAAAUAGCAUAUUUAAAUACAAACUGCCAUGUUGUUGACACAUGUUCUAACUCCAGACAAAAGCUUUGAUAAUUACACAGAGAACCAAUUUCUAUUUUAUAUAUGUUUUUUAAGAUAUUUUUAAUUUUUAUUUGAGGCAAGUAUUUUUAUUGUUAUUUGGUGGUUUACUACCAAAGAUCACAUCUUACUGUAUAAAUUUCUAAUUUUGGGAUUGAAUUAAGUAAUAAUGAGUUUGCUAAGAUUAGAAAGGUUGGCUCCUGAAAUAACAGAGGAAAAAAUGUGUUAAUUUGUGAAUGACGUGGAUUAUUGUCUAAGAACAUUGCACAUUCCUACAGUGAACUUGACAGAGCAUCUGGUGGUAGUAGCAGGCACUUCUCACAACACACAAAGGGAAGUGGAACCAUCUCCUCCGUUGUUGACUAGAUCUGGUUAACAAACCCCAACCCAAGAUUGAACCCCAGGUGGGAAGAACUACAAUAGAAAACUACAGUAUUCUACAAUAUUACACUCUGAGGAAAUCUAGAAAUUUUGCAAGAAAAGACUCCAGAAUAGGGGAAUACCAACGUUUCACACCUUUUGAGGAGUCAGGCAUCGAUUUCAACACGCAGAACACGAUUAACCACACAGAUCAACCAGGCAGUAGUGUACUUUUCUUGAUACCAACAGACAAAAACAGCACCCGAGUAAUUCAUGACCAAUACAAUUAAAAGGCUACAUGAGGGUACUCUGCUCAACUAAAACACAUUUCAAGACCAAAAAUAUACAUUCCACAGAAAAGACCUCGGUAGAAAUAAUAAUACUGGGAUGUAUUGUCUGUCAUGGUUUAAAAUAUGUUAAGACAGACAAGCAUGGUAUUAAAUCACCUACUUCAACCCACUUUUGGUACCUGUAGCAUUUGGUAAGGAUUUGAAUCUUCACAGUUUUCAUUACAUACUACACAUACGGGAACAGCACCCAUGGAGAACUAAAGAUUGACUGCAUAACAGGAAUGACUCCACAGUAACGUCAUGACAACAAAUUUCUGCGUCGACCUUCGCUUACAGAUAGGCCUGGAGUCGGAUGGUAGGACUACGUAAUUUAAUGUAACCUAGUGAGCUCCUCUACUGCUUUGUGAAGUUCUUCAACAGAAACCUCGAGCGAAGUGGCAAUUUCUUCCAUCUUGUUUCUACUCAGGUCCAAGAAAGACUCUAUUAAGUCACCAUCUAAGAAGUUCCGAGCGUCCACAGUUUUCCGCUCAUUGCUGAAAGAUCGCCAUUGCUCAUGGCUUAAACCACCAACACCUUUAAUCACCUUCACCAAAGCCUGUUGUAGCUUCUGCAGGAAUAAGAACUGGUCUUGUGGUAGGGAAGCAAUGACUCCUAUAACUCCAUUCACGGUUCCAAAGAUGACAGUUGGGAUUUGGCUAGCUUCGCUGUCAGGAAGUCGCAUUACAAGCGACCCAUGGCGAAAUCUGUUAACAAACUCGCCAAGAUGGUACUCACCGACAACUUCCAAUCGACCUCUUUCUUCAUCUGUAGCUGCAUCAUUGUUUUUCCUUACUGUGAAAAGAUUGAAACUAUUUUCUGCUCCCAGGUAUGUGUCGUCAUCCAAAAUCUCAACGGCUGUCAUCCAAUUAGCAUUGUAGUCUCGAGCUCUCUCCUCGAUUGCACCCUCUUCAGGCUGUCAGAUACAGUAAAGAAUAUCAUCACUUCAGGCGAUAAACAAUUCCUCAUUUCAUAAUCCUUGAACUCGUCAAAAAAGAUGAAAGUAGAUGGGGGAAAGAGCUUAGUCUAGAGGAAAAGGACCAAAUGAAACAACUUUGUGCUGAUAUAUUCCAGUAGUUUGGGAAGUACUAACCUUGUAAAUAAGAAGCGAAAUUGAUUUCAUCAAAUCUCCCACAACAAUAAAAUCUCCACGUGAUUGAACAUACAGAGCCAAGAUAUGUCCAUGGUGAGAGGACUCGUACUGCAACUCCCUUGUUCCAUCAUCUCUUAGUGUCCACUUGUAUAAAGCAAUCUUCUGGUUGAUGCCUGCUAGCAAUUUCCCAUUGAAAGCAUUCAAAUUGUAAACAGCACCCUUCACUUCCUUCUCUGCUACCAGCUGGAUCUUGCCAUCCUCCACCGAGAAAACAAGAAUUCGACCCUGUUUCAACAAAACAUUUACUACCAAAUGAAAAGAAGAAAACUGUAACUGCGAACCAAAGCCGGGUUUGGAGCCACGAUUUGGGGACCUAUACUAAGAAUAAAGAAAAUCAUGAACAUUCUGAAGUGAAAACCAACCGUGUAACUUUCUCAAAGUAGAAAAGGUAGAAGGCAUCUGGUAAAAAUGGCACUGACCUUGCUAGGUUCACUUUCCUCAGGAAGAGCAUAGGCUGUGCCCACACAAUAGUAUACAUUGGAGUCGUCAGUGAAGGAACAUGUAAUAAUGGAGCAUCCGUUUUCAUACGGGUCGAGAGGGAACCCCGAUAUUAUCUCAAACGUCUGGUCUUCAAUUAACCGGACAUAAUGCGUUUCCAUGUCUUCACCGUUGGACCCUGGUGCAUACUUGGCCGAACAUAUGGCAAACGUACGAGAUUGUUCUUGAUGGGCGAUACGGCGAGGGUGUUCACCAAGAGGAACAGUGCGAAUGUGUAGCUUCUGAAUUUCAUCAAUAGUGCCGAUAGUGAGCUCUCCUUCCUUCCCGAUCGCAAGGCUGGAGACCACAUCAAACUGAGUCAGUAAAGAUUGUCCCCAUUCAAACAUAAUCAGUACCAGAAUUUAUAACAUAAAAAUGACAGGAAGUACUCUAUUGCGAACGUUGAAAUAUAAGCUGCAUUAGGAUGGAGACUUCAGGCACAGACAUCCAGAACCGACCCCCUUAAAGAUGACUGCGUUUAUUAGAAAGUCUGUAACGAACCUGUCUGGAAACGAUGCCGAGUUAAAGGGGCACAUGUGAUUGACUUCCUUCAAAUUGACAUUGCUAUACAAAAGUUUUUUAUUGCUGCUGUAUAUCACAGUCGGACGAUCUGAGGCUGCAAACACAUGCGUGGUAUUUUUGGAUCGAAAAGUCCGUAAUGCUAUGGGUUGUGUGCCAAGAGAUAUCUUCUUUCUAUCAGAUAAUUCUCCCGUAGCAGGGUUCAGCGUGAAGUUGAACAGGUGUCCAUCCCCCAAAGCACACAACAAGUACGCAAUCUGUAUACACACGACGUGAUAAGAAUCUGAUAAAAAAUACAAAAACCCAAAUGAUGAUCAAAUCGGUUAUUGAGGAAGUUAUAGUUUCACCAGACAGGAAAACCAAUUUCAGUAAACCAGGCAACAGGUAAAUUGAUCAGCUGCCAAAGCUAAACAACCGAAGAAAUAAGUAAACAGAUCAAGUUCUUCGGGCUUAUUUGAGGACUCUAUCCCCAAAGUAGGGUCAUAUUGUAUGGACAGGGUUCACUCUCAGCAUACUAGAGUAGUAAUCCCAAUGAAAUAAGAACCAUAUUUCAGUAGAAAUUUCAGCAUCAAAUACUUUUCAAAACACAAACAGGUGAACAAGAUUAAAAGGCCUCACCCCAUCAAAAGAGCAGAAGAGGACAGAACGGGGUAUGAUUUCUCCACCCAACAUUUCUUUGGUUAUCAAGGUAAGUGAUGGUAAGGCGAAAAUUCGAAUACUGAUGUCUGUCCACAUGCCGACUGCUACAAGGUUGCUGCGCUCAGGAUUAUCCCCCACAGGAUUGAUAUCUAAACACGAGAUUUCAUACUCCAACUGUACAUGUGCCACCUCCACCAGUGUACCUUGCCCUAUUUCAAUAUAUACAAGAUUUCCACCUCCUGUUGCAAGCAAGACCUGUUCAUCCAUAUUCUGGCUAAGAUCAGCAAAGAAAAAAAGUCCUGCCAAACAACGACGAUCACCACACAUAACAUAUGGCAUAACCUAUACAAUAAGUGAAAAAAGGAUAAGAAUGUCAGUGGUUUAGCUCAUCAUAACAUACAGAUAGAACUUCAAAUCAUGAAAUCUUCUAGUAACACAGAUCAGAACAGACCUGAGACGCGUUCGCCGUAGCAACGUUGAUAGUCAUUGGUGCCGGGGCUUUCCACUCUGUUAGUUGUCUUCUAGUCUUUGCAUCAACAAGACGCAACGAGCCUGCUGUGACCUGCGUUAGAUGAUAGAGAGUCAGGAAACAGUAUGAUGGAACAUUACAUAAAUCAAAUCCGAGAAGUCAUUGCAAAAAAGCCCUCACAUCAAAAGUAGGAUUAAACUAAUACAACACCUGUUUCGUGUGGCUUCGCAAAAGAAAAACCUGGAAAUAACUCAUGGUCCGUACCUGUACAAGUUGGUCGUGGACCGCAUUAUAACAAAAAAGGGUCUGAGCUUCAGAGUCAAAGCCAUCGAUCUCUGUCUCCUCAAGUUCAUCAUCCGUGUUCAUUGCCAAAAUACGUGUCUCACUUAUGAAGCUCACAACAAGGAAUGUAUCAUAGACAUCACUAGAUGAUGCCCGAAGAGACCACAUGCCCUUUAUGCCUUGAAGCUCUGCAGAAGCCUACAAGAAUCAACUCAUAUAUGGCUUGGUCAGUGCAAUAUACUCACAAAAUGCAAUACGAAUUACAUCAUCUGCUAGAGAGAGAGAGAGAGAGAGAUAGUUACAAGUAACCGAGGAUUAAGUGACCUUAACGAUAAAGGCCUGGUAGACAGAAAUUAGAAUGUAUGUUAAACAAGAAAAAAAAAGAAAAAAAAAAGGGGGGGGGGGGCAGUACAGCAGGUAGUAAUAUCUGAAGUAUUUACAUGGCAUUAACAGUAAUAGAACUAUCUCGGACAACUUUGAGCGCACUGCACUAAAAGCUAACCUGCUCAUUGAUGCCAAUACCGUUUCGCACGAUACGCAAAGAGCCAUCUUUAAAAGCACCUGAACAGGUUACCACUUGACCUUGACCUUGCCUUUCAAGAUCCACAACACAAAGAUCUACAAUAGGACCCAAAUUCACAUAGCUCUCCAAAACCUCGACAUAGGAAUUCUUGGCAUCUGCCUGGUGGUUUAAUCUGAUGAGCUGCAAAAUCAGAUUAGAAAAAUCACCUUUGGGCAUCAGAAUGUUAUUGCGACGAAAACUAGUGUACGCCUGUAGAGUACACCGAAGACACUAGUAUGCACAUUUAGAAAAUACAAUAUGUGAACCAAGAAACUGCAUCACCAUAAAAAGGGAAUACCAAAUGGGAAGAGCUAUUACCCAUAUGAUUGUAACGAUAAAUAACUCACAAUUCUAAAACGAGGAACGAAGCUCAUUUGAUGCAACAAAACAUUAAAACCUGAUUUAAGGCAGAGAAGAGAAAGAAUAAACCCAAAAGAAGCUAAAAGAAAAAACAAAGAAACCGACCUGUGAAUCACCAUAGCUGGAACCAACAAAAACUACACCAUUGUCCAGGUAGGACAAAGUAGAAGCUGCUGAUGUCUCCCCAAGAGGCUCCACAUUUAAGGCUGAUACCCUGUGAAACCUCACCCACUCAUAGUAUGUUUACCAAUCAUACAUAGUAGUUACGCGCAUACUCCCCAUCCACAAAGAGGAAAAGACGAAAGAAGGAAUUAAACCAAGAUAAGUGCAACACCCUCGAUUGAAAGGUGCUCUCAGGAAAAUGAUGCUGCUGGGAAAGCAAAGCACUGACCUUUCCUUAUCAUGCGAAAUAACAAGUAAGUAUAACAUGCCAUUAUGAUCGCUCAGCAAAUAUCGCGACCCAUCACUAUCCACUCUUCCAUAAGCCUUUGUAAUUGACUGUGAAUACCUCCACCAAUCAUGUCCACCGUGAGUAUCUCAACAAAGAUAGACCCGAGAUAGUUCACAAAAUGCAUAGACCUCAGCAGAAACGACAGCAAAACUCUUAGCCUUGUUCACUUGAAACUCUCAUCGAACUCUACCACAUAUUGGUAAACCAGCUCACAACUUUACCGCCACAAAAUAAAGACCACGCAUGCGACUUUUACUAGGGCUAGAUUCUGAUUUAAGAUGUCCAAGCUUUGCAAAGACUCGUUUCAGCUCAAAUUAUAACGAAACUCAAAUCCUAACUGAGUCUAGAAACGAAUACUGACGAAAGACGUCUCAAGAAAAAUAAACGUGAAGUAUUAUACCGGUCGAAUAGGAAUGGCUUUAAAAACAGAACCAUUAUAGUAAACAAUAGUCUGUUCCCCAAUAAUUAUGGCACCGCCCAACGGAAGUGGAACAGGAAUCAACAAGCCUGCGCCAUUGUCCAGGUUAUUUUGCAACCACGGACCCUCUCCAAAAUCUUUUUCUUUCAGUUGCACCUCGUACGUCUUGACAUGUCUGGCGUCUUUGUUGUCCUGAUUGGUCACAUCAGAAAACCACCAUCAGUGCUACCAAAGUCGAAAUUUUCCCUUCAAGAAUUAUGUUUAAAAAAGGAAGCAGUAUGUAGAUCUGUCAGAUGUACAACGCAUGACCCACAAAAUUUGAAAAAAAUAGGUGACAAGGAUCAACCUGAUAGAGAACUGCAAUAGUAGGUUUAGCACAGCCAUAAAGAAACUUGAUGUCCAAAACUUGCAGCUCUUCCAACCUGCGCGACGUAGACCUCUUAAGAAACCAAAAAAAAAAGGAAAAAAUAAAAACACAAAGAGAAAGAAAGAAAUGGAAAGAUGCAGAAGUAGAAAGAAGAAGGAAGAAAGAAAACAGCGAUUGCAAGUCACAUUCUUCCCCACUGCACCAAUAGUGGAAAAGAGGGGUAUGAUGCCUUAAGGACAACACCCAAUCUGUUAUACAGCGAGCGUCUUCAAAUCAUACAAAGCAAGCCAACAAUGUUUGCAUACCUGAUAUUGAAGGCUUCUUUCAGUUGACCUUUGUUGUCAAUAGGAAUCACCUAAAAAUAUACGAGAAACUGGUCAUUGGAGAUCAUUCAAUUUCAACGUAUUGCAAACAUGUCAGAAAAUGACAAGAGAAGACGAAUAAUUUAAGACUGAUGUGUACACCAGCAACUACUGAUAUCUCCAGAAAAUCUACUCUGAAGAACUGGGUGCAGCUGAGGGACUUUCACCACUCUCAUAUAUGUCCUGCUAUUCCCUAGUACCGAACAUUUGAAGCAGCCAAAAUCCACGCAAGAGAAGCCCUCAGACAUAAAUGACUAAUUAAGAUCAAUUCGAAAAGAAAUACUUAAGCAACAACCAUAUCAACAAUUCAGAUCAUCACUAACACAGCAAAUAUAUUUGAAACGAAAGGCGAACCUUGAACAGCCCAUCAUAAAGAUGCAGACCAAUUAGGCGGCAGUCAGGGUCAACGAUGCCAAUCUGGAAAAAAAAACAAAAUGUAUCAUACUAUCAUUGACAUUCAUACAAGGAAAAUCCCAAACCCUGCUAGUGAACUUCAGAAGCAACAUGACAGCAGAAACGCAUUAAAAACUAGUGAAAUAUUAAACCUCUAUUCCCAACAUGCCCUAAGAUUACAAGCACUAAACUGCCUCCUCUCCGCGUAAUCUUAACAACAAAUUUAAGUAUGCACCUGUCCAUUAUCUGUAGGUCGACCAAUUCGAUCAGAAACAUCUCCCAUCGCUCUGCAGGAAUCCAUUAUACCAUUUGAUUGGGAUUCAAUCUUGUGAUUAAUCUACCACUAGAAAACUUCCAACACAAGAAGAGUAGAAGGGAUUGAAGAGUUAUGAGAGGAGAAGUUGAGACAUGUUUUGUAGGAUCCAACACCCAAAUACCUAGACCUACUGAAGUAUUGAACAGUAUCACGAAGGUCCAUAUUUUUACCGUGUAACGAGUAAGCCGGUUUCUGCAUCCCAUUGAAGUACACAAAAUUUAUAUCUCUCGAACGAUAUAAACAGUACGUCCUGUGAUUCCCCCUGUAACCGAAGCACAGAAAAAAGAACUCAUGUUCAUAUUUACGUUCCAUCUGUCGAUUAGAUCAUAUGCUAGCACAAAGUUUCAUGCUAGCAACUACAACACCCAAUACUUCCUCAACUGGUAGACACAACUGGUAGACUAAAAGGCUUGCUAGCGUAUUCGAUUUGCACCAAACAAGAAAGCCGUAGGUUUAGAAUCGCAAAAUUCAGCAAAUGUUUCUAGUAAACCAAAACAGCUCACUACGACUCACAACUACAAAGUAGAUUUUCAGCUUCAAAGCAGGAAACACCAUUCAACAACUUACAGGAGGCCGAAAAAGUUCCAGGGUGGCAAUUCGACCAUAGAUGGGGACGUCGAGCAUGGGCUGCAUUUCGAGAAAGCAUGAACAUCAGCUGUUUUCUACAUAUAACAAAGCUAUUUAUGCUUAUUAAAACCCGGCAUCACAGGGUGUGCGGCAACAUAGUUACUCCAAUCGUGAAGAAUAUCCAUGUCGCAAGUCGUGCAACGUUUGAGUACACAAUCUACCAAAUGCCAAGGAAAGGUAAGCUCCGGUUCCCUUAGAAGUAACCGCAGCAUUAAGAAUGAACUUGCAUAUUGCUUUGUCAAACACGAUGAACAUACUAAAACCGUGGAAAAAAGGAUAAGCAAUUCUUUGUUCAUUCAUUUGUUAGAGAAUACUGUCUUCUCGCGCACUUUUGAUCAACAAGUGUACACGAACAGUUGAAUGUACAAUUGGUCUCAAAACAAUAAGCGCAGAGAUACUUAAGCACUUAUACAAGUUCCUGCAAGGAACACAUAUUUCCAUAAUAAUUCAAAUCUACAUGAGUUUUUCAUACAAUUUAGAGGGUUUGGGGAACAAAUUAAAUACUUACUUGGAGCCCUGACGCCGUCAACAGGUGAAUCUCAAUUCGAGUGCAUUUUCUAAAAUAGGAGUCAAGAAUCUCAUUGACAAACGAGUCUUUAGUAAGACCGUGUAAAUGGCACGAGCUGUUGAGAUAAACACAAACACAAGAACUGGCAACUUCAUACACAGUAGUGAAAUAGUUCUCCACUCUGUGAGAAACAUAAAUUGUUAACACCCCGAACGAAGCAUAAUCACUCCAUGUGCACCUUCUCUCCUAAAAACCCCCUCUAACUCCCGAGAAUAAAUUCAAUCCUAAACCACAGAAAUGGGAAGCACGAAAUAGACGCAACACUUUCAAAAGAGGAAACUACGACAUAAUUGGCAGCCUAUUGUCCUCCCGUUCUCAACCAAGUACGUGCUAGCAAACAUUCGUAUGGUAGACGCAUAAACAAAAAAUUAACAGUCGCGUAAACUGCCCGAAGCACAUAUACCGCCGCUGAUUUCAACGUCUAAAGAAAUUCAAAUGCCUAUACUUCCAAAGUACGCGAUGCUGAUUCGUAAAAGUCGUCAGGGAGCUCAAUUUCGUCGCAGUUCAGUACAAAUAAACCUAUCUCAACCAGAUUAUUGAGUCCAUCAUCGGAACACACGCAACCACACCACUGACCUAAACAUGCCGUCCGAUAAUAUCAAAAAAAUUCUAGUAUCACAAGCAUUCUACGCCGAGGGCACACUUCCGACAACAGAAAUUGGUGCAGCUCAGUAGAAAUAAAUUAAAAAAAAAAAAAAAAAAAAAAAAAAAAACACACACACACAAGCAUAACCACAAAACUAUGUAUAAACCAUCGUAAUUUUCACUCACCAAAAUACAAAGAGAUGAAGACUCUCGUGAGAAAAAGGGGAAAAAAAGGAUACGCGAUGAUAAGAUUGAGCUCCUGCGGAUUAGUGAAGUAACCGACGCACGAAUGCGUCACAUUGGUGGGCUUGUGCGCCGUAACUACAUAAUUCCAGCCACUCAUAGCUGCCUCUUGCCAAAGAUCCUUCACCACCCGUCCUUUCUAGCCCUUGCACAAAAUUCCCCGAAAUCUGAGCCUGAAGCUUUCCCUCUGCCUGCUUCAACUCGUCACGUUACUCACCUCACCUUAGAAACAUCAAAGCAAACCUGCGACUGCAUGCCAUCGAUGCACAUAAGUUCGUGAGCAACUGAGCUUCACAGCAGGAAACACAACCUCUCGGAAAAAAAGGAGCGUCUAACCCUAAUGAGUUUUUUUAAAAAACAGAAGCAUCUGAGAACGCAAUUACGAAACCCGUUGAUACCCUCCCAGUCCAGCACCCAGGUAUGUGAGAAGUUACGGCUUGUUCAAUGACAUUCCACGGGGAACUUCGUUCUAAUGAUCACUUUCUUAAGAAUGAUUGUGAGCAUGGCACUCUGCUCGAGUAUUACCCAGGAACACUGAUAGGGAACGUGAGGGAACGCAUGUAGUGACGUUGUGUUGUGAUGGAUGCAAAUGAAUUGUGUGGGAAAACCAUAUUUGAACAAUGUGACCAGAACAAUAUAACAGGGUUGAAAGAGGAGAGUAGUUUGUUAGCUCUGCCCUUUGAAGUUAAUAAUACAACCCAUUCACUUCUUUAUUGCCGUCCAAAUUUUGCAUAUGUAUUGAACAUAGACAUAUUGUCGACAUUGAUGGAUGUAAAUUCUAUAUAGCAAUACAUGGCCACAAUUUGACCAAUUACGUGAAAUUCUUUCAUGAAAAUUUAAUAUACUAAAAUUUGGGACAACUUAAAAAUUGAAUUGAUUUUUCUAUUCAUUAAUAUUAACAUUAUUUGGACUUCACCAUGCAACUUUUAAUUACUUUGGUAGAUAUUUUAGUCUUUCAUAGAUGAAACAAAGUAAAAAUACCAUUUUAAUGUCUAAAUAUUUAACAAUUGUGCAUUGAACAAUAUGUAUUAAUUAAUAUUACUUCAAUUUUUAUGGCCAUUUAAUCUACUUGAAUUGAUCUAACAAAGAAAAUUUUGUACUUUAUGUAAUUUGGAUUGAUCAUAUAUAUAUAUAUAUAUAUAUAUAUAUAUAUAUUAUUCUUUUUAUAUUCUGAACUUAAAAAUAUGCUUGUUUUUUUGUCAUAUAAUGAAAUAUCUAAAUUCUUACCACAAUAAUUAUAUAUAAUCUAAUAUAUAUAAAUAUUAGAAAAUAAAUAAUUUGGCAUUUAAAAAAAUCUUAGAUGAAUAUUAAUUACAAAAAUAAUACAUUUUAUUUAUUAGAAUAAAGAAAUAUAUUAGAUUUAUAGAGAUUUUAAUAUAAUUUAUAUUUUUAUAAGAACCAAUUAAGUAUAGUAGUAAUAUCUAGAUGAAAAUUAGAACAUAUAUACAUUAUAUGUAAGAUAAAACUAAUUUUGAAAUUUUUAUGAAUUAUAUUAAAAAAUAAAAACUAAAACUUAUGUAUAAAUUAGAAUUAAAUUAUUCUAUUAUCAGAAUUAUUACUAAAUUUAUAAUCUACUUCAAAGAAUUUAAUAUAUAUAUAUAUAUAUAUAUAUAUAUAUAAUAAAAUAUUUGACAUCAUAUUUUAAUGAAAUGAUUUUUUUUAUUUUUUUAAAAUAAUAUUUUUUAUUUGAAUUAUUUAUAAAAUUCUUAUAUUCAUACAAAUCAAAAAGUACAAUCAAGACUUUCUAACCAUUAAAGAAAUAAAAUUUAAUUCUUAUACAUAAAAGAUAUAAAUAUAAAAUAUAAUUAUAAUUAUAACUAUUUAUUUAUACAUGAUAUGUAGUGGUAUUUCAUUAUAAAAAAUAAUUUAAAAUUUUAAACUAAUUUAUAUAUAUUAAAAUCAAAAUUAUUAUUACUAUUAUUAUCAAUAUUAUUUUUAAAAAGUAAUCUAAAAUAUUAAUUAAAGUAUUAUAAAAAACAAAAAAUAGUCACUAUUUUUUUAAUUAAUAUAUAGAAUUCUUAUUGUGGACAUUCAUAUUUAUUCUCACAAUUGUGUAGAUAAUAUGAAUGUAUAGAAGUAUGUAAAAGUGGAUAAAAUUAAUAUAACUUGUGGAAAAGCUUUAUAGAUCUAACUUUGACUUUGGCCAUAGCCAUUAUAGUUUAAUAUUUUAUCAUCUUUAAGUGAUAUUCUAGUCUUUUUGAGUGACAUAAGAGUGUUUUGAUAUCUUAAUUCUUUGAAGUUCAUGUCCUUGACAAUUUGAUAAGAGUGCUAACUUAUUAUUCUUAUCUUGUUUCAAAACUGAGUGAAUUAUUCCUCUUCUAUUGAUGUGAUUUGAAGAUUGUGGAUUAUCCAUCUUUGAACAAACUAUUUAGUUUUCCAACACCAAUUUUUUUUCUUAAAAAGAACAUAUUAUCCUUUUUUGUGAAAAAAUUUAUUUAAUAUUCGAUGUUGUAGAUUAUUUUUUUCUAAUUUGACUUUUUGAUUUCUUAAGUUAUUUGAAAUAGAAGGAAAAACCAUUGAUACUAUACUUGGUGGAAGUAAAAAUAGAUUUGCAAUUGUUGCUGAUCUUCACAAACUUAUCAACAGUCUUAGAGUGGAAAUUUCAUGCAUCACUAAUGCCAACCACAGAAAUAUUAAUCCUAUGUAUAUAGAAGAAGUUCAGAAUCUACAAUAAAAAGUUGUGUAGUUGAAAGAAUGAAGUAGAUUGACCUCACAACCAAAUCUAGAAAGUUUUACUUUUACAAGUAUAAUGGAGACACAGAUUAGUAUAUCCAAUAAGUUUGAUAGAACAAGAUCAAAAUUUCAAGGAUUUUUGUAAUAAGUCAAGUUCUAUCUAAGAUUACAUCCCUUCCAGUAGUGUGAUGGAUUUAUUCAAGUUGAAUUCAUAAGCACACUUCUAUUUGGAAGUGCUCUCUUUUGGUUCAUAUUGUUAAUGGAAAAUGAUUCACAACUCUUUUAUGAUGUGAAUUCAUUCUUAGAAGUAUUUAUGGCUAUAGUUGAAGAAAGUGAUUGAAAAAGAGUAGCAAAGACUAAGAUCUUAUCCUUAUAAUAAAAAUCAUGGUCAGCUACUAUAUAUGCUACUAAAUUUCAAAAUCUUGCUUGUAAUGUGGAUUGGAAUAAUAAAGCCCUUAUCAAUCAAUUUCAAUAUGGAUUGAAGAAUAACAUCAAAGAUUUAUUAUUGACAAUAUCAAAAGUAAAAUCUUUAAAAUAGUUUAUUCUUCAUGCCAUUACAUGCUUCAAUUAAUUAUUUAAAAGAUGUCAAGAAUAAAGACUUGGCUAGAGAAGAAUAAGCCAAGUAAUAACGAUAGUUCCUAAGUUUUCAGAAACUUAUUUAUCAAAGUCAGAACCAAUGCAAAUUGAUACAAUAUAUUUUAAACUCCUCACUUAGCAAGAAAAGACUCAACAUCAUUAAGAGAGUUUGUACUUAUAUUGUAGAAAAGCUAAGCACAUUGCUCAAUAUUGUCCAAAGAAGUAAUGCAAUCACAAAAUAAGAAACAUGAUUAUCAAAAAAGAUAAUGUGUCCAAAAACAAGUUUUUCUAACUAUUAUAGGAGCUGUGUGGUUGAAAUCAUGUGUAACUUCUAGUAAAGGUUAUAUUCUCUCCUCAGAUCACUCACCUUAUUUUACAAUAGAUAAAUGUUUAGGACCUAAAAAUGACAAAGACUUUGCAUUAUUAGAUUCAAGAGUCCCAGCCUGUUUUAUAGAUUAAGACUUUGUUAAAGAACAAGAAAUAUUUUUAGUCAAAAAAAUUAAACCCAUACAUGUAGAAGUUAUAGAUGGUUUUUUGUUAUUUUUUGGAGAUGUUACUCAUGAGACAAUUCCUUUAGAUGUAGCAAUCAAAGACCAUAAUAUUGUAAUAUUAUUCAAUGUGAUAAGAUUUCCUUCUAAUCUAAUUAUUUUAGGAUUAUCGUGGUUUAUGAGUCACUAAAUUAACUCACUUUGAUAUUUAGUAUAAAAAAACACUAAUCAUGCUUAAAAUCAUAGAUUUAGUGAGUUAACAGUAAAUUUUUUAGGAAAAAUAGAAAAUAGAUUACUAAUAGCAGAUAUAGAAUCUAGGGUAGAAUUUAUUAAGAUGAAUUUCCAUAUUGGAGAUAUUUUUUGUAUCUAAUAUUAGAUGAUGGCCAAUGGAAAUAUUCCUCAUUGUCAUAAAAAUAAACUCUUAUUUUAUUAAUAGAUCUUAAAACAAAUAUAUGUAUAUGUUAUGGAAAAAAUAAAAAAUAAAAUAAAAUAAAAAGAUCAAAAGGAGUAGAAAGAAGAAUAGAGAAGAGAAGAAGGGAGAAGGAGAAAGAAGAAAAAGAAAGAGGGGAAGAGAAGGAAAGUAGGACAGAAGAAAAAAAAGAAGGACCGAAGAAAAGAAAAGAAAAGAAAUGAAAGGAUGAAAAAAAAUAAAAAUAAAAAUAUAAGACAAUUAAGAAGGCGAGAGGCUGCCCCUGAAUGGCGGCAGCCUACUUGUUGAUAUGAGUCGGGGCAGCCUGGGCUCCGAUCGUUCGAAUCUCCUUCCUGAGCGUGUUCUCUCCCGAGAGUAUUCCUUUUCUGUACAUGUGGGUGCAUGGCGGCACUUGUUUCUCUUCAUUCCGUCAAAGUGUGGGAACAAAAAAGAAUCUUUGUUACGAUCAGUGCACGACGUCAAGGUUCGGCGUCGUUGCUUUGUGUCCUUUGUAUUGGGAGUGCUGUGGGGCAGUUGUUUCCCUUUCGUUUUUUUGUUUUGUUUUGUUUUGUUUUUUGUUUUUUGUCUUCUCCAUGUGCGUGGUGGCAUUUUGUCUCUUGCCCCAUUGAGGUGCUGCGGUGUAGCGGCCAAUUGUUAUCGACUGGGUCAGCGAGGGCUUAAUCGAGUUGCAGCAGUUGCAUUGCUUGCUGAUUAUGGUCGUGAAUGAGGAUGAUGGCUAUGGGUGCUUCUAAGUUCUUUAGGUGCAGCGUCGUCGAUUAAGUAUGGAGGCGUGGAGGUUGGUCAUCAAUUGUUCUCUCUCUCACUUGGUGUUGGUAAUCUAGACGACUUGACACGGUUUACUGAGCCAGUUAACUCGACGAUUGGUCUACAAAUGGAGGUGGCGCUUCCUGGCUCAAAUUUACUCGACCUGUGUAUCGACGGUAGCACAUCAAGGCGGCGGUUUCUAUUUUUUCUCAAAACUAUGCGUGCGGUCGACGACAUUUGAUCUUCCACAAUAGCAAUUCGCUGCGUUUAAGUAUUGUAGAAGUUCGUGCAGUGAGGCGGUUGUCCUCAUUGAUACUGACUCAAUCUAUUUUUUUCCUUCCUUCACUCAAGAUUCUGGCAAGUUACAUUGAUGUGGAAGUUUUUUUAUCUUCUAGCUGCUCGAUGAUAUUGAGCGAUGGCAGUAGCAAGCAAGCGUCCAGUCUAUACUCAACGAUGUGGAAAAGCCAUCUGGGUAGUUGUCGACAAGUUGGAGUUAUGAUCCUCCAUUAGCAGCCGCAAGAUUGACAAGGCGACAGGUUCCACAGUGGUUGGAGCUCGGGGUGUUUGCUUUGAGGAGGUAGUCGGUGGUUCCAGAAGUGGCAGUUGUUUGUAGUAGAAGGCAGUUUCUUCCAUCAGCUGCGACCAGUGCGAGCUCCUCCAAACGGCAAGACGUGAUUAGGUUAGCUUUUGUUGGACGAAAGUUAGGCUAGAACAAGGUUAAAAGUGGAUGAUUUUUAUUAGGUGAAUGAUGAAAUAAAAGAUGAAUUAUUUAAACAUUGAUGGAAUUUUAAAAGUUAAUGAAUUAUUAUUCAUGGAUG
RNAcentral lists this long non-coding RNA (22138 nucleotides) under Physcomitrium patens. RNAcentral's name for it is "long non-coding RNA (PPAT_LNC009327)". The record is from RNAcentral. Lineage: Eukaryota; Viridiplantae; Streptophyta; Bryopsida; Funariales; Funariaceae.